CCCUUAGAUGUUCUGGGCCGCACGCGCGCUACACUGAUAAUGUCAACAAGCUUUACCUUGGCCGAUAGGUCUGGGCAAUCUUCGAACUAUUAUCGUGAUGGGGCUAGAUUAUUGCAACUAUUAAUCUUAAACGAGGAAUUCCUAGUAAGCGCGAGUCAUCAGCUCGCGUUGAUUACGUCCCUGUCCUUUGUACACACCGCCCGUCGCUCCUACCGAUUGGAUUGGCUGGUGAAGCGUUCGGAUUGUGGGUUCGGAGCGGUUCGCCGUUCUGGGCUUGCGAGAAGUUCGUUAAACCCUCCUAUCUAGAGGAAGGAGAAGUCGUAACA
Molecule: ribosomal RNA, 326 nt
Filed under: uncultured eukaryote
Lineage: Eukaryota
Description: partial 18S ribosomal RNA
Rfam family: Eukaryotic small subunit ribosomal RNA
Source: RNAcentral